GCCUCGGUAAGUCUAAUUGGCUAGGACACUUGCGCGUAAAGCAAAAGGUGUCCGGGUUCAACUCCCAGCCGAGGUA
Molecule: transfer RNA, 76 nt
Filed under: Cyphomyrmex costatus
Lineage: Eukaryota; Metazoa; Arthropoda; Insecta; Hymenoptera; Formicidae
Rfam family: tRNA
About the family: Transfer RNA (tRNA) molecules are approximately 80 nucleotides in length. Their secondary structure includes four short double-helical elements and three loops (D, anti-codon, and T loops).
Source: Rfam by way of RNAcentral